This 902-nucleotide ribosomal RNA is filed under the name uncultured bacterium. RNAcentral describes it as "bacterial SSU rRNA". It matches the Rfam family "Bacterial small subunit ribosomal RNA", at positions 8 to 916 of the family's 1533-position model. The record is from RNAcentral.
AGAGUUUGAUCCUGGCUCAGGACGAACGCUGGCGGCGUGCCUAACACAUGCAAGUCGAGCGGAGAUAACUUGAUGGUAACUGAUAGUUAUCUUAGCGGCGGACGGGUGAGUAACACGUGGGCAACCUGCCUCAGAGUGGGGGAUAACACCGAGAAAUCGGUGCUAAUACCGCAUAACGUACGGAUUUCGCAUGAUAACCGUACCAAAGGAGCAAUCCGCUUUGAGAUGGGCCCGCGGCUGAUUAGCUAGUUGGUGAGGUAAUGGCUCACCAAGGCAACGAUCAGUAGCCGACCUGAGAGGGUGACCGGCCACACUGGAACUGAGACACGGUCCAGACUCCUACGGGAGGCAGCAGUGGGGAAUAUUGCGCAAUGGGGGAAACCCUGACGCAGCAACGCCGCGUGGAGGAAGAAGGUCUUCGGAUUGUAAACUCCUGUCUUCUGGGACGAUAAUGACGGUACCAGAGGAGGAAGCCACGGCUAACUACGUGCCAGCAGCCGCGGUAAUACGUAGGUGGCGAGCGUUGUCCGGAAUUACUGGGCGUAAAGGGCGCGUAGGCGGCUCUUUAAGUCAGAUGUGAAAACCCAGGGCUUAACUUUGGGACUGCAUUUGAAACUGAAGGGCUUUGAGUGCAGGAGAGGUAAGUGGAAUUCCUAGUGUAGCGGUGAAAUGCGUAGAUAUUAGGAGGAACACCAGUGGCGAAGGCGACUUACUGGACUGUACCUGACGCUGAGGCGCGAAAGCGUGGGGAGCAAACAGGAUUAGAUACCCUGGUAGUCCACGCUGUAAACGAUGGAUACUAGUGUGGGGAGGUAUUCGACCCCUUCCGUGCCGCAGUAAACGCAAUAAGUAUCCCGCCUGGGGAGUACGGCCGCAAGGUUGAAACUCAAAUGAAUUGACCG